RNAcentral lists this ribosomal RNA (855 nucleotides) under uncultured bacterium. RNAcentral's name for it is "SSU rRNA". It matches the Rfam family "Bacterial small subunit ribosomal RNA", at positions 524 to 1381 of the family's 1533-position model. The record is from RNAcentral.
UACGGAGGAUCCAAGCGUUAUCCGGAUUUAUUGGGUUUAAAGGGUGCGUAGGCGGACCCUUAAGUCAGUGGUGAAAGUUUGCGGCUCAACCGUAAAAUUGCCAUUGAAACUGAGGGUCUUGAGUGUAAAUGAGGUAGGCGGAAUGUGUUGUGUAGCGGUGAAAUGCUUAGAUAUAACACAGAACACCAAUUGCGAAGGCAGCUUACUGGGAUACAACUGACGCUGAGGCACGAAAGCGUGGGGAUCAAACAGGAUUAGAUACCCUGGUAGUCCACGCAGUAAACGAUGAAUACUAGCUGUAUGCGAUAUACUGUAUGUGGCAAAGCGAAAGCGUUAAGUAUUCCACCUGGGGAGUACGUUCGCAAGAAUGAAACUCAAAGGAAUUGACGGGGGCCCGCACAAGCGGAGGAACAUGUGGUUUAAUUCGAUGAUACGCGAGGAACCUUACCCGGGCUUGAAAUGCAUCUGACCGACCAGGAAACUGGUUUUCUAGCAAUAGCAGAUGUGUAGGUGCUGCAUGGUUGUCGUCAGCUCGUGCCGUGAGGUGUCGGCUUAAGUGCCAUAACGAGCGCAACCCUUAUCAUUAGUUACUAACAGGUCAUGCUGAGGACUCUAGUGAGACUGCCACCGUAAGGUGUGAGGAAGGUGGGGAUGACGUCAAAUCAGCACGGCCCUUACGUCCGGGGCGACACACGUGUUACAAUGGGGGGUACAGAGGGUCGCUACCUGGUGACAGGAUGCUAAUCUCAUAAAGCCUCUCUCAGUUCGGAUCGGAGUCUGCAACUCGACUCCGUGAAGCUGGAUUCGCUAGUAAUCGCGCAUCAGCCAUGGCGCGGUGAAUACGUUCCCGGGCCU